GGACCAGCCACAAACCAUAAAGAUAUUACAACUGUUUUAGAAUGUUCCCCACUAAAUUCCACAAAAAUAUCUUCAUCGCCUACGAGAUAUUUUCCACCUACGUAUUUCCUUGUUUGCCUGAACCACGCAAAUGCAUACGCCACACCACGUAAACAAUCCAUAACCAAUAAAAUUUUUUUCGCAUAUAAAACUUAAAAAGAGUAUAAUAACAAAACCGUUCUGAGCUCUAAAUUUGUCCAAUUUUAUGUUAAAAUAUUACACCCAGCUACCUGCCUGCCUAACUUCUUUCUAUGCUUUUCUCAACAAGCUAAAAACUUCAACCCAGCCACCAGUGUUUUACAAUGCUAUUUCAUCAAAUUUUACCGCUCGUUUUCCCUGCACAAGAAAAUAGAGACUUUUCUCCUUUUCUCAGACGACGACGUUUGCAGUUUCAACCUUCUUUUCUUUGGCCGCUCAUAUUUACAGUUCCACCACCGUCUAGGGGUAGUGCAACUUUUCAGUCUUCACAAAGGACAAACGGCGGCGACUAUUCACUUUCCACGUAAGGCAAAUACAACUUCCAGAAGGAACUAGAAUGAAUCGUCCCACAAAUGACGCGUGUCUUUCCGCCACCUUCUCAUCUCACUCUCAUCGCAAUCGUUUUCUGUGGUAGCCACAUCUUACGUCACCACCCACUGUCCAUCUCCAAGCUCUCAUCAGAUAAUAAAUAUCCAAUCACCAAUCACAAAUAUUAAUCAUCAUUUCCCCAGCUCUAGCCACAACGGGUCGUCAUGCUCACUGUGCCCAGUCUUUCCAUCCAACGGCUCUGAUUUUACGUCGCACACAGGCUCAUCCUCCUGUGAUUGUUGUUGAUACUUACUCCCUUCUUGUUCCUCUUCCUCCUCCUCACCCCUUCUCACGCGCUUAACCCCAAUCGACACACCAAACAGCUUUGGGCUUACUCCCUCCUCUGCCGUCGCCGUCACAACUGCCUUUGUGCCACCACUAAUGGCCAUCUCAUCCGCCCGCGUCACCACCUUCGUCGAAGGCAACAAAUCUAAAGGCUUCCCCUCCGGCAAAUUGCUAUGACCAUCCAAUUGACCAGAGGCGUAAUUAGUCAUCAAUGCAACUAUAUUAUUACACAAGCCCUUCAACUGAGUUAACUCCUCUCUCAACUGCGCAUUUUCUUUCCUCAACCUCUUGUUCUCUUCCAGAAGCUCCGGUGUCGUAGUACAGUUUGUUGUUUGGAGAUUCGGAGUAGCACCCUG
RNAcentral lists this unclassified non-coding RNA (1247 nucleotides) under Hevea brasiliensis (rubber tree). The record is from RNAcentral. Lineage: Eukaryota; Viridiplantae; Streptophyta; Magnoliopsida; Malpighiales; Euphorbiaceae.